Molecule: ribosomal RNA, 497 nt
Filed under: uncultured bacterium
Lineage: Bacteria
Description: partial 16S ribosomal RNA
Rfam family: Bacterial small subunit ribosomal RNA
Source: RNAcentral
GAUGAACGCUGGCGGCGUGCCUAAUACAUGCAAGUCGAGCGAACAGACGAGGAGCUUGCUCCUCUGACGUUAGCGGCGGACGGGUGAGUAACACGUGGAUAACCUACCUAUAAGACUGGGAUAACUUCGGGAAACCGGAGCUAAUACCGGAUAAUAUAUUGAACCGCAUGGUUCAAUAGUGAAAGACGGUUUUGCUGUCACUUAUAGAUGGAUCCGCGCCGCAUUAGCUAGUUGGUAAGGUAACGGCUUACCAAGGCAACGAUGCGUAGCCGACCUGAGAGGGUGAUCGGCCACACUGGAACUGAGACACGGUCCAGACUCCUACGGGAGGCAGCAGUAGGGAAUCUUCCGCAAUGGGCGAAAGCCUGACGGAGCAACGCCGCGUGAGUGAUGAAGGUCUUCGGAUCGUAAAACUCUGUUAUUAGGGAAGAACAAAUGUGUAAGUAACUAGGCACGUCUUGACGGUACCUAAUCAGAAAGCCACGGCUAACUACGUG